UAUAAGUGUGGUGAUCCUGGGUGCUCGGGUUGUUUUGCUGCUACUUCUCGCUCCUUCCACCAGGGGCCGCCUGGUGGAUGAUCUCUGUUGGGCGUGACCUGGGAUCCUCACACCUGUCGGAGAUUGUCUCAUCUCCGCAGAGGCUUAAGAGUGGAGUCAGCAAACACAUCGAUGUCAGAGUGUUAACCAGUAAUGACUACUCCCUCGUGACGUCGUGGUCCGACCACUCGAGGCUUUUGAGCUCCUGGCUGUACCUGGCGUACUUAUCCCUCGUUGGCUGCCUACCUCGAUCUGCCCCGGUGAGCUGAGGUCCGUAUCUGUCCGCCCUCCAACGCCGUCCGCUGGAUUUUCCCAAAACACCAGCUGGUUCCGCAGCAGAUCCCCAUACCCGAAACCACCCCGGGAAAUCCCAGUAUCCACCCCCGCUUGCCUGCCGCCUGACCUAGUAAGACCGUUGCCGCUCGUUCAGAACUCAAACAUCCCACAGUCCUUGAACUCAUCGCUCAUUCUCUCUUCCAGCCCGCUCCAUUUGCCGCUCCCCCAAGAACACAGUUGAUCUGUACUGUUGUUGUGCUUUAUAUUAAACAUCUUUUACUG
Long non-coding RNA from Poecilia latipinna (sailfin molly), 597 nucleotides. RefSeq lists it as uncharacterized. The transcript has 2 exons. The record is from RefSeq and is a predicted model, not a curated record. Lineage: Eukaryota; Metazoa; Chordata; Actinopteri; Cyprinodontiformes; Poeciliidae.